ACUCAUGUUAAGCUCAGUCAGUAGAGGAGGAGACAUUUCAUCUCAGGGUUGUGGGUUCAAGCCCCACAUUGAGCA
This is a non-coding RNA of Podarcis lilfordi (Lilford's wall lizard), 75 nucleotides long. NCBI's taxonomy places the organism in Eukaryota, Metazoa, Chordata, Lepidosauria, Squamata, Lacertidae. The record is from the annotation of a GenBank genome assembly.